GGGAGUAACGCGUGGGUAACCUGCCUCAUACAGGGGGAUAACAGUUAGAAAUGACUGCUAAUACCGCAUAAGCGCACAGUGCUGCAUGGCACAGUGUGAAAAACUCCGGUGGUAUGAGAUGGACCCGCGUCUGAUUAGCUAGUUGGUGGGGUAACGGCCUACCAAGGCGACGAUCAGUAGCCGGCCUGAGAGGGUGAACGGCCACAUUGGGACUGAGACACGGCCCAA
Molecule: ribosomal RNA, 228 nt
Filed under: uncultured bacterium
Lineage: Bacteria
Description: partial 16S ribosomal RNA
Rfam family: Bacterial small subunit ribosomal RNA
Source: RNAcentral